AUUCAAUUUUAAGAAGGUGUCUA
RNAcentral lists this non-coding RNA (23 nucleotides) under Rattus norvegicus (Norway rat). Lineage: Eukaryota; Metazoa; Chordata; Mammalia; Rodentia; Muridae. The record is from RNAcentral.